Molecule: long non-coding RNA, 534 nt
Filed under: Brassica napus (rape)
Lineage: Eukaryota; Viridiplantae; Streptophyta; Magnoliopsida; Brassicales; Brassicaceae
Description: long non-coding RNA (BNAP_LNC021617)
Source: RNAcentral
ACUUUCUCUAAAGAUGCAGCUAUAGCCUGAAUCAUGCAUAGUAUAUAUACAAAUUUCAUCAGUAUAUAAAGUUAUUAUCAAAGAACAGAAAACGGAUAAUGUUUACCUCUGAUCCGUCGGUGUUACUCUUUUUUGAUAAGUCAAUAGCAUCGUCCAAGAUGAGCUUCUCAGAUGGCCAUGCAAUUUUGACUCCAACAGCCUGACUAAGCGAUACACAAGUUGUAGUUGGUCUCCAUAUAGGUGCUGUUACGACUGAAACACACUUCACUACAACAGCAGCCGCAUUAGGACCCAGUGGAAUUCGACCAAUCUUAUAUGUGGGUUCAUCAGAGUAGAAUUCUCCUUCAGCAACAACCAAAUCAUCAUUCGAGAUCCAAUCCAGUAUCUGGCACCUUAUUCCUCCCUUGCUCACAUCGCUUAACUCAGAAGUAGAAUCAUAUCCGCUUUUUUGCUAACCCAAUAAGGAAACAAAACUUUUAAAAUCUUAAAGACCACAAAAUCUAUAAUAAUUAUCAACAGCAAUAAGGAGUUACC